CAGUUCACCUACACCCUUCAAUGGAUUCUUCUAGGUCCCAGUUUACCUAAACCCUUCAAUGGAUUCUUCUAGGUCCCAGUUUACCUAAACACUUCAAUGGAUUCUUCUAGGUCCCAGUUUACCUAAACCCUUCAAUGGAUUCUUCUAGGUCCCAGUUUACCUACACCCUUCAAUGGAUUCUACCAGGUCCCAGUUUACCUAAACCCUUCAAUGGAUUCUACCAGGUCCCAGUUCACCUAAACCCUUCAAUGGAUUCUUCUAGGUCCCAGUUUUCCUACACCCUUCAAUGGAUUCUUCUAGGUCCCAGUUCACCUAAACCCUUCAAUGGAUUCUUCUAGGUCCCAGUUUACCUAAACCCUUCAAUGGAUUCUUCUAGGUCCCAGUUUACCUACACCCUUCAAUGGAUUCUACCAGGUCCCAGUUUACCUAAACCCUUCAAUGGAUUCUACCAG
Oncorhynchus tshawytscha (Chinook salmon) is the source of this 452-nucleotide long non-coding RNA. Lineage: Eukaryota; Metazoa; Chordata; Actinopteri; Salmoniformes; Salmonidae. The record is from Ensembl.